RNAcentral lists this ribosomal RNA (253 nucleotides) under uncultured bacterium. Its description in RNAcentral is "partial 16S ribosomal RNA". It matches the Rfam family "Bacterial small subunit ribosomal RNA", at positions 524 to 776 of the family's 1533-position model. The record is from RNAcentral.
UACAGAGGGUGCAAGCGUUGUUCGGAAUUAUUGGGCGUAAAGGGCGCGUAGGCGGUGCCACAAGUCACCUGUGAAAUCUCCGGGCUUAACUCGGAGCCUGCAGGCGAAACUGUGGUGCUGGAGUGUGGGAGAGGUGCGUGGAAUUCCCGGUGUAGCGGUGAAAUGCGUAGAUAUCGGUAGGAACACCAGUGGCGAAGGCGGUUUCCUGGAGCCCACUUGACGCUGAGACGCGAAAGCUGGGGGAGCAAACAGG